GCGGACAGAUGGGAGCUUGCUCCCUGAUGUUAGCGGCGGACGGGUGAGUAACACGUGGGUAACCUGCCUGUAAGACUGGGAUAACUCCGGGAAACCGGGGCUAAUACCGGAUGGUUGUUUGAACCGCAUGGUUCAAACAUAAAAGGUGGCUUCGGCUACCACUUACAGAUGGACCCGCGGCGCAUUAGCUAGUUGGUGAGGUAACGGCUCACCAAGGCAACGAUGCGUAGCCGACCUGAGAGGGUGAUCGGCCACACUGGGACUGAGACACGGCCCAGACUCCUACGGGAGGCAGCAGUAGGGAAUCUUCCGCAAUGGACAAAAGUCUGACGGAGCAACGCCCCGUGAGUGAUGAAGGUUUUCGGAUCGUAGGGCUCUGUUGUUAGGGAAGAACAAGUACCGUUCGAAUAGGGCGGUACCUUGACGGUACCUAACCAGAAAGCCACGGCUAACUACGUGCCAGCAGCCGCGGUAAUACGUAGGUGGCAAGCGUUGUCCGGAAUUAUUGGGCGUAAAGGGCUCGCAGGCGG
RNAcentral lists this ribosomal RNA (530 nucleotides) under Bacillus subtilis. RNAcentral describes it as "bacterial SSU rRNA". It matches the Rfam family "Bacterial small subunit ribosomal RNA", at positions 66 to 578 of the family's 1533-position model. Lineage: Bacteria; Bacillati; Bacillota; Bacilli; Caryophanales; Bacillaceae. The record is from RNAcentral.